CGCGCACGGUCCGGUGGCCACCCGGGGCUCAUAUUCCUGGGACGCCUGGUUCGACACCAGGGUGCGCGACCA
This 72-nucleotide transfer RNA is filed under the name Kibdelosporangium phytohabitans. RNAcentral describes it as "tRNA-Met". Lineage: Bacteria; Bacillati; Actinomycetota; Actinomycetes; Pseudonocardiales; Pseudonocardiaceae. The record is from RNAcentral.